GACGAACGCUGGCGGCGUGCCUAAUACAUGCAAGUCGAACGAACCGCGACUAGGUGCUUGCACUUGGUCAAGGUGAGUGGCGAACGGGUGAGUAACACGUGGGUAACCUACCUCAUAGUGGGGGAUAACAGUCGGAAACGACUGCUAAUACCGCAUAGGACAUAGGAUCACAUGAUCCAGUGAGGAAAGGUGGCGCAAGCUAUCGCUAAGAGAUGGACCCGCGGUGCAUUAGCUAGUUGGUAGGGUAAAGGCCUACCAAGGCGAUGAUGCAUAGCCGACCUGAGAGGGUGAUCGGCCACAUUGGGACUGAGACACGGCCCAAACUCCUACGGGAGGCAGCAGUAGGGAAUCUUCCGCAAUGGACGCAAGUCUGACGGAGCAACGCCGCGUGAGUGAAGAAGGUCUUAGGAUCGUAAAGCUCUGUUGUUAGAGAAGAACAGCGCAUAGAGUAACUGUUAUGCGUGUGACGGUAUCUAAACAGAAAGCCACGGCUAACUACGUG
RNAcentral lists this ribosomal RNA (502 nucleotides) under uncultured bacterium. Its description in RNAcentral is "partial 16S ribosomal RNA". It matches the Rfam family "Bacterial small subunit ribosomal RNA", at positions 28 to 507 of the family's 1533-position model. The record is from RNAcentral.